RNAcentral lists this long non-coding RNA (681 nucleotides) under Actinidia chinensis (golden kiwifruit). RNAcentral describes it as "long non-coding RNA (ACHI_LNC007880)". The record is from RNAcentral. Lineage: Eukaryota; Viridiplantae; Streptophyta; Magnoliopsida; Ericales; Actinidiaceae.
AAAUAUAUUAAUUUCCCUUAAUAUAUAAUAUAAAUACAAGGAGUUCAUGUAUAAGAUUGAAGGCUUUAUGCAUCAGUGGUUAAAUUCAAAUCAAAAAAAUAUAACAAUAUAUGUUCCACAAAUACUCCCCAUGCUUUACUCAAAUGUUUAAGGCUGUGUGUUUGGAUCAAGGAUUUAGUGAGAAAAAAAAAAAAAUUAGGAAAUCCAAGGGCACGAACAUCUGGAUCGUCUAACUUUUUCAAUUUUUUUUCUCACCAAAUCCUUGAUCCAAAUACAACCCAAGUGUUGAGUAUUUUAUAAAUUUAGAAUAAUUCAUCCAAAAUAGAAGAUCAAUGUGAAUUCAAAAGCCAAUGCACAUACCUGUGUUUCAUAUCCCCUCUGCAAGUUAGACACCAGAUUCACGAAAUAGCGCAGACCAAAGGACUUACCGAAUUCGGUUUAUACCCCGUGAAGACCCAAGUAUGCCUUCCCAGUAGUAAGAUAAACAAGCUCUCUUUUUUUUUUUUUUUUUCCUCAUUCUACGUGAAUGUGCAAAAGAAUUUCUAUACACACUGAAUUCACAAACGAUGAACGAUGACAAACGAUCUUUAUCCACAAUGACCACCAUCACAUACUAGUGUCCCCACACAACAUAAUUCAGUAAAUUAAUUUGACAAAGAAGUACGAGUACAAUUAUAAAAU